Molecule: long non-coding RNA, 292 nt
Filed under: Equus caballus (horse)
Lineage: Eukaryota; Metazoa; Chordata; Mammalia; Perissodactyla; Equidae
Description: lncRNA (ENSECAG00000058401.1)
Source: RNAcentral
GCCACUUCUGAUAGCAACAGCUGUCGAGUGGGGCUGAAAGACGAAGGCCUGGUUCCUCUGUGACUUGGAAGUUCUACCACCACAUCAGUGUCACAGUACCUAGGACUCUGUGGGACUUUGGGCACCAGAUCCCUUUCUCCAGGGGACAGAGAGAGGCGUCCACUGCUCCUACUGCAGGUUCCUCAAAGGCUGACCAUGGCUUUCCUGCACUACGUUUGUGUCUGUCUGUGUCUUCUGCCUGGCAGCUGUGUUUCCUCUGGGAGAACAGUAGUCUUCUGUCUGCUGUGGCAAG